Molecule: long non-coding RNA, 274 nt
Filed under: Gallus gallus (chicken)
Lineage: Eukaryota; Metazoa; Chordata; Aves; Galliformes; Phasianidae
Description: long non-coding RNA NONGGAT008095
Source: RNAcentral
UACUGUGCUGAAAUACACAGUGUUUGCCAUGCUGUGUCUGUGAGCUUGGACUCGCUACUGUUCUGUUAUUUUUCCAAGUGAUAAGAGGGAGUUUGAAGACUAGAGGGAAGAAUACAAGAUUUCCCCUGCCUCAUGCUUCCCUCCGAAGAGCCUUUCCUAGCACCGCAACAGGAGAGUGGAGGAUGAGGGAUGGAGGUUGGGCUCCAGCAUCGACAGCGAUCUCUGCUAUGGCUUGAUAGGAAAAAAAUAAAAAUAAAAGGACAUUCAGUCAGGA